This 497-nucleotide ribosomal RNA is filed under the name uncultured bacterium. Its description in RNAcentral is "partial 16S ribosomal RNA". It matches the Rfam family "Bacterial small subunit ribosomal RNA", at positions 28 to 507 of the family's 1533-position model. The record is from RNAcentral.
GAUGAACGCUGGCGGCGUGCCUAACACAUGCAAGUCGAGCGAACACAUAGGGAGCUUGUUCCUCUAACGUUGGCGGCUGACGGGUGGGUGACACGUGGAUAGCCUACUUCUUAUACGUGGAUGACUUCGGGGGGCCGGAGCUACUACCACAGAAUAUAUCGAACCGCAUGGUUCAAUAGUGAUAGACGCUUUUGCUGUCACUUUUAGACGGUUCCGCGCCGCAUUAGCUAGUUGGUAAGGUAACGGCCUACCAAGGCGACGAUGCGUAGCCGAUCUGAGAGGAUGAUCGGCCACACUGGAACUGAGACACGGUCCAGACUCCUACGGGAGGCAGCAGUAGGGAAUCUUGCGCAAUGGGCGAAAGCCUGACGCAGCCACACCGCGUGAGUGAUGAAGGUCUUCGGAUCGUAAAGCCCUUUUGUUAGGAAAGAACAACAGCAUAUGUAUCCAUCGACGUCCUGACGGUACCCAAACAGAAAGCCCCGGCUAACUACGUG